AUUGAGACGUCUAUAUGUAUGUAUACAAUGCAAUUGCUCAUUGGCCAAUUAAGUCUGAACGUUAUAAAAGCGCGUUAUGCAAGCACAAAGAAACAUUUCACACAAGGUUCGUGCUAUCUCCCGCCACGAUUAACGGCGUUGUCUUCUCGUGUCUUGUCGCAGUCCUGCUGGUCGGCACGUGCUGGGGCCAAUGUCCCUUUGCAUCCCCUCUACCGGGUUUCUACUGCGGACGCGGCGGGGAGAGAUGCCCUGACUCUUACUACUGCGAGAUCGGCCCAUUUGACAAUAACGUCUGCUGUCCCAUCCAACGACCUCCCACUUAUGGAAAAUAACGGCACGCUCGUCUAAUGCGGGGAAGAUGCAGUCUCGUGCCCCUCUUUGUACGUGCUGUAGCGCCCAGUGAUGCAACAUAUUAUGUAUUGACAAAAACCUUUGCAUGGUACAAAUAUUGUUGAUAUUAAUACCAACUGUCUUUUAUUUUGUCCAUUAUUUCAAUGCACCUUAACACACGCGAAGCAAAUACUUAAUGGAAAUAAGUGAAAAUAAUUUUUCUCUUUUUUGUGUUAUCCUUGGUAUUGUGUGUGCAUUCCAUGGCUUACUAUGUAUAUUGCUGUUAUAAUAUAUUUUAUGUUGUCUGCAUUAUGUAGUAACAAUGUAAUGUUCAUAUUUUUACCAAAUGAAAUAAAUAAAUAAAUAAAUAUGCAAUAUUUAAAUGUAGGGAUGGCAACGAAUACUGAAAAUGAUAUUCGAAUAUUCGGUUGUCAGUAUUCGAAUAUAUUCGAAUAUUCGAUUUUAAGCCUUAUUUUAAAAUGUCCGAACUUACGCCUGUCCGGAGCAAAGUAAUGUUCCUGAUUGCCACGCAUACCACUUAUAAUCGUUUUGUAUAUGCAGCUUUGGAAAAGGGAUAGAGUUUUAAUUUUUAAGAACGAUUUUGAUUAUUGUGUUCUAUUUAUUCGCUUAAUUAUUUUUAUUUUCAUAACAUAUUAGGCACGUUGCCGAUAAAAAUAAUACCGUAAUUCGGAUUUAUGUCAAUACAAUGUUGGGUUACCUCCCUUAGAUCAUAUGGGUUCUUUUAUUAUCUCCUUUUUUUAUCGGACUCCAGAGCUAAGACGAUGUCAAAACUUGGAAAGAAUUGUUAAAAUAUAUAAUUAUGUAUUCCGCCUUUGAACUUCAAAAUAAUUGCAUAAACAACCUUACUGCA
Dreissena polymorpha is the source of this 1201-nucleotide long non-coding RNA. RefSeq lists it as uncharacterized. The record is from RefSeq and is a predicted model, not a curated record. The transcript is spliced from 3 exons. NCBI's taxonomy places the organism in Eukaryota, Metazoa, Mollusca, Bivalvia, Myida, Dreissenidae.